This 848-nucleotide unclassified non-coding RNA is filed under the name Limulus polyphemus (Atlantic horseshoe crab). RNAcentral describes it as "uncharacterized LOC106469279, transcript variant X2". The record is from RNAcentral. Lineage: Eukaryota; Metazoa; Arthropoda; Merostomata; Xiphosura; Limulidae.
AUAUCAAGCUGAAUGGCAAAUGGCGUUAGUUCGAAAUAACGAAGUUUUUUACGAAGAUCGGGAAGAUGAUGUUAUUUCAGAAAAUACGUGGGAUGGGUUUAGAGAUGGAAUGGAAGAAGGCCAGAAGAAGACGUUGCAAGAUGGUUUUAAUAAUGGAUAUGAGCACGGAUAUGGAGUGAUGUUUGCUAUUUCUGAGUAUCGGGGAAUCUUACAAGGUUUGAGGUACUUUCUGAGUAGAAAUCAGAGACCCCAAGCAGAGAUUUUGAAAGCAACAAUACUGAAAGUGAAAGAAUUGGAAAAGCAAAUAUUACACGAGUUUCAAAGUGCUUUUGCUAUUCCAGUGAAGCACAUGGAUCAUUUAAACAAAGAACUUCCAAAAACAAGCAGCAGAAAAGCUGGAGAAGAUAUAACUCAAUCUUCCCCUGUUGCAAGGAAAACAGAUGAUACAGAUCAUUCUCUACUCUACCUCAGUGAAGAGACUAAACCAUUUUUAUCACCACAAUAUGAGAGAAAGUUUUGUUUACAGAAAAGUCUGGUUGAUGACAUCAGCAGGAUGAUGACUGAAAUAGCAACUUUAUUGGAAGAAUUAGGUUUUGCAGAUUUAAUUAAGAAGUAACACUACAUUAAAAAGCUAUAUAUGUGUUAAAAAGAAGCACUGAAUCUUAUCUCCAAUAUUUAUUCUUAAGGAAGUUCAGCCUUGCCAUAACCAUUUUGAUGAAGAAGUGGCCAAUCUUAGAUCAGUAGUCACUGGAAUUCCAAAUAGCGCUGUGUUCAAAGUAUGUCAGAUGUCUCUGGGAGAAUUGUAGCUAGACUUUGAAGUUAAAUAAAUAUCAGAUUUACCUCCAUUA